This 4650-nucleotide long non-coding RNA is filed under the name Salmo salar (Atlantic salmon). RNAcentral describes it as "lncRNA (ENSSSAG00000116500.1)". The record is from RNAcentral. Lineage: Eukaryota; Metazoa; Chordata; Actinopteri; Salmoniformes; Salmonidae.
CUCUGGUCUGAUGAAACAAAAAUAGAAUUGUUUGGCCAUAAUGACCAUCGUUAUGUUUGGAGGAAAAAGGGGGAGGUUUGCAAGCCGAAGAACACCAUCCCAACCGUGAAGCACGGUGGUGGCAGCAUCAUGUUGUGGGGGUGCUUUGCUGCAGAAGGGACUGGUGCACUUCACAAAAUAGAUGGCAUCAUGAGGGAGGGAAAAUUAUGUGGAUAUAUUGAAGCAACAUCUCAAGACAUCAGUCAGGAAGUUAAAGCUUGGUCGCAAAUAGUUCUUCCAAAUGAACAACGACCCCAAGCAUACUUCCUAACUUGUGGCAAAAUGGCUUAAGGACAACAAAGUCAAGGUAUUGGAGUGGCCAUCACAAAGUCCUGACCUCAAUCCCAUAGAAAAAUUGUGAGCAGAACUGAAAAAGCAUGUGCGAGCAAUGAGGCCUACAAACCUGACUCAGUUACACCAGCUCUGUCAGGAGGAAUGGGCCAAAAUUAACCCAACUUAUUGUGGGAAGCUUGUGGAAGGCUACCUGAAAUGUUUGACCCAGGUUAAACAAUUUAAAGGCAAUGCUACCAAAUACUAAUUGAGUGUAUGUAAACUUCUGACCCACUGGGAAUGUGAUGAAAGAAAUAAAAGCUGAAAUAAAUCAUUCUCUCUAUUAUUAUUCUGACAUUUCACAUUCUUAAAAUAAAGUGGUGAUCCUAACCUAAGACAGGGAAUUUUUACUAGGAUUAAAUGUCAGGAAUUGUGAAAAACUGAGUUUAAAUGUAUUUGGCUGAGGUGUAUGUAAACUUCCCGCCUUCAACUGUAUAUUGUACUUAUCAAUAAAAACAAGACAGGCUAUUAAAAUUACUAUUAUUUUUACAAAUAUAAUACGUGUCCCUAAGUUUUAUCCCCAUUGGUGUAACCACCUUGAAAAUCACUCAUUACAAAGAUUUACAAGUACCUUGCAUUGACCUCCAGUGGAAAAGUUUUGCACUGGAGGGAUCUAUAUUAAAUACAAUUAUUAGCUAAUCACACCCUUUUAGCAACUCAUCAAUUUGAGGAUUCCAUUGAUCAUUUGGUGUGUCUAAAUAGUGUAAUUGGUGUUACAAAUGUUAAAUGAAGGGAAAUUACACUGUGAGCUAAAUUAUGAAUCAUAAACACUUUGGUCAAUUAUUUUUAAAGGUUUAAUGACCUUAGAUUCGAAUGUCCUCAAUUACCAAAAUGUUGUCAUUGGAGUUACCAUCACUGGUGUAACUACUUCUGCUGGUGGCACGAUGUUAUCAUAAUAGUAAAACAUUAUUAAAAGUCACUAAGCUACCAUAUUAGUUCAUUUACAAUGGGAAGAUAUACCCAAUACAUUUUAUUAAAAAGAAUAGAGAAAAAUUAAGUUCAUUUUUUUCUCCAAAAUGCCACACCCAAAUACCGCCGCAAUUCAAGAACAACCCUUAUGGUAGGUAGGCCUAUAGACACUUUCUUAGUUUACAAUUCCCCCCUCUAUCUUCAAUUCACUGAUUAGCUCAAUCAAUUUGUAAAAAUAUGAGAAUAACUUGUUUGGGGUGUUGGUUGUAGUCACCUGAAAGAUGAAGGACAUAGGACCAUUUUAGACAUUUCACAACACUUUAGGCUGUUACCUAAAUGUUAACACAAUACCUGGAAACGAAUCACCACAGGUUGGUGCUAUUGAUGAUAUGUAUACAAUUGCUGAACUCUACAAUUAAUGUUUAAUCUCUACUUAAUACUUUACUAAUACUGAUAUGUGGGUUCUUACCUUGUCCUUUGGGGGAUCAGCAUUCCCCUCCAUGGCCUCUGUGAACACAGAAAACACCAGAAAGAUGAAGACAGCACAGACCAGAGCUUUGUUCAUGUUGAAUAGGGCAGGUGCAACCAUCAGUCCCAACUGCAGCAAAAACGGAAGUGUCAAGGUGCUUGCCCCCGAUGCCUACAGAGAAGAGAGAGAGAGAGAGAGAGAGAGAGAGAGAGAGAGAGAGAGAGAGAUAAAGAGAGAGAGAGAGAUAAAGAGAGAGAGAGAGAUAAAGAGAGAGAUAAAGAGAGAGAUAAAGAGAGAGAAGGAACUGAAUUUCCACACUCUUAUAAAAGGGACUAUCUAGAGCCAUAAAGGGUUCUUCUGCUGUCCCUGUAUGAGAACCCUUUUUGGCUCCAUGUAGAACCGAUGUAGAACCGAUGUAGAACCCAACUUACCCAACAAACCAUGGUAUAACCUUAUAAUAACCCUUUGGUGAUAAGACCCAACCUGGAACCAAACAGGGUUCUCUGGGACAGCCAAAGAACCCUUUAUGGGUCGUUCUUGAACUGCAGUGGCAUUCACAUCCACGAAAAAAACACUUCAAAAUGACAAAUAGUUACACAUUAUUCAAGUUUUCUGUUUAAAAGACUGUUUAUCAGUCAUAAAACAUACUGCAAGUGCUUUAUAAUGCAAAACGUUAUGUUUAUGCAUUGUUUAAAGUACAGUUAUAGUGACAUAUUUUGUGUCACGUCCUGACCAGCAGAUGGAGCUGGUGUAGUAGUUUGGGGGUCAGGACGUGGCAGUCUUGUGUGUGUCUUGUGACUCCUGAUCAGGAACAGCUGGGAAUCGUUGUUCCUGAUUGGGAGUCAUAUAUGUAGGAGUUGUUUGUCACUGGGGUUUGUGGGUGGUUGUUUUGCACUGCGUUUUUUUUUUUUUUUUAGCCUGCAAACUGUUACUGCUGUCACGUUUAUUGUUUCCUGUGGAUGCUUUACUCCUUUUGUUGGGUAAUUAAAAAAUGAGUAUUCACAUACCUGCUGCGCCUUGGUUCAUUUCAGAAGACAGUCGUUACAUAUUGGGGGAUUUAAAGCUAUCAAUAUAUGUAUUAUUUUUGAAUUCUAGAAAGAAAACAAAAGCAUUACAUACAGUUGAAGUCAGAAGUUUACAUACACUUAGGUUGGAGUCAUUAAAACCCGUUUUUCAACCACUCCACAAAUUUCUUGUUAACAAACUAUAGUUUUGGCAAGUUGGUUAGGACAUCUACUUUGUGAAUGACACAAGUCAUUUUUCCAACAAUUGUUCACAGACAGAUUAUUUCACUUAUAAUUCAGUGUAUCACAAUUCCAGUGGGUCAUAAGUUUACAUACACUAAGUAGACUGUGCCUUUAAAUAGCUUGGAAAAUUGCAGAAAAUGAUGUCAUGGCUUUAGAAGCUUCUGAUAGGCUAAUUGACAUCAUUUGAGUCAAUUGGAGGUGCACCUGUGGAUGUAUUUCAAGGCCUACCUUCAAACUCAGUGCCUCAUUGCUUGACAUCAUGGGAAAAUCAAAAGAAAUCAGCCAAGACCUCAGAAAACAAAUUGUAGACCACAAGUCUGGUUAAUCCUUGGGAUUAAUUUCCAAAUGCCUGAAGGUACCACGUUCAUCUGUACAAACAAUAGUACGCAAGUAUAAACACCAUGGGACCACGCAGCCGUCAUCAAGAAGGAGACGCGUUCUGUCUCCUAGAGAUGAACGUACUUUGGUGCGAAAAGUGCAAGUCAAUCCCAGAACAACAGCAAAGGUGCUGGAGGAAACAGGUACAAAAGUAUCUAUCUCCACAGUAAAACAAGUCCUAUAUUGACAUACCUGAAAGGCUGCUCAGCAAGGAAGAAGUCAUUGCUCCAAAACCGCAAUAAAAAAGACUACGGUUUGAAACUGCACAUGGGGACAUAGAUCGUACUUUUUGGAGAAAUGUCCUCUGGUCUGAUGAAACAAAAAUAGAAUUGUUUGGCCAUAAUGACCAUCGUUAUGUUUGGAGGAAAAAGGGGGAGGCUUGCAAGCCGAAGAACACCAUCCCAACCGUGAAGCACGGUGGUGGCAGCAUCAUGUUGUGGGGGUGCUUUGCUGCAGAAGGGACUGGUGCACUUCACAAAAUAGAUGGCAUCAUGAGGGAGGGAAAAUUAUGUGGAUAUAUUGAAGCAACAUCUCAAGACAUCAGUCAGGAAGUUAAAGCUUGGUCGCAAAUAGUUCUUCCAAAUGAACAACGACCCCAAGCAUACUUCCUAACUUGUGGCAAAAUGGCUUAAGGACAACAAAGUCAAGGUAUUGGAGUGGCCAUCACAAAGUCCUGACCUCAAUCCCAUAGAAAAAUUGUGAGCAGAACUGAAAAAGCAUGUGCGAGCAAUGAGGCCUACAAACCUGACUCAGUUACACCAGCUCUGUCAGGAGGAAUGGGCCAAAAUUAACCCAACUUAUUGUGGGAAGCUUGUGGAAGGCUACCUGAAAUGUUUGACCCAGGUUAAACAAUUUAAAGGCAAUGCUACCAAAUACUAAUUGAGUGUAUGUAAACUUCUGACCCACUGGGAAUGUGAUGAAAGAAAUAAAAGCUGAAAUAAAUCAUUCUCUCUACUAUUAUUCUGACAUUUCACAUUCUUAAAAUAAAGUGGUGAUCCUAACCUAAGACAGGGAAUUUUUACUAGGAUUAAAUGUCAGGAAUUGUGAAAAACUGAGUUUAAAUGUAUUUGGCUGAGGUGUAUGUAAACUUCCCGCCUUCAACUGUAUAUUGUACUUAUCAAUAAAAACAAGACAGGCUAUUAAAAUUACUAUUAUUUUAACAAAUAUAAUACGUGUCCCUAAGUUUUAUCCCCAUUGGUGUAACCACCUUGAAAAUCACUCAUUACAAAGAUUUACAAGUACCUUGCAUUGACCUCCAGUGGAAAAGUUUUGCACUGG